GAUCCUGGCUCAGGAUGAACGCUAGCUACAGGCUUAACACAUGCAAGUCGAGGGGCAGCAUGGUCUUAGCUUGCUAAGGCCGAUGGCGACCGGCGCACGGGUGAGUAACACGUAUCCAACCUGCCGUCUACUCUUGGACAGCCUUCUGAAAGGAAGAUUAAUACAAGAUGGCAUCAUGAGUUCGCAUGUUCACAUGAUUAAAGGUAUUCCGGUAGACGAUGGGGAGUCG
RNAcentral lists this ribosomal RNA (229 nucleotides) under uncultured bacterium. RNAcentral describes it as "partial 16S ribosomal RNA". It matches the Rfam family "Bacterial small subunit ribosomal RNA", at positions 15 to 235 of the family's 1533-position model. The record is from RNAcentral.